This 465-nucleotide ribosomal RNA is filed under the name Euglandina sp. HLS30177. RNAcentral describes it as "partial 16S ribosomal RNA". It matches the Rfam family "Archaeal large subunit ribosomal RNA", at positions 1898 to 2679 of the family's 2987-position model. The record is from RNAcentral. Lineage: Eukaryota; Metazoa; Mollusca; Gastropoda; Stylommatophora; Spiraxidae.
AUCAAAAACAUAGCUUGGUGUAGUACAUACUAAGUUAAUUCUGCUCAAUGAAAAAUUAAAUAGCCGCAGUACCCUGACUGUGCUAAGGUAGCAUAAUAAGUUGGCUUAUAAUUGAAGUCUUGUAUGAAUGGAAUUUAAUGGAUAAUAACUGUCUCUUUUUUAGCUUAAAUAAAAUUACUUAUAAGGUGAAAAUUCCUUUUAUUUAAAAGAAAGACGAGAAGACCCUUAGAAUUGUUAAUAAGUUUUAUGUUUUUAUAAUUUUUAUUUGUUGGGGCGACAAAGUUACACGUAACUUACAUGUUUUUUUUGUUACAGGUAAUAAUUGAUUAGAACGAUUAAUUACCUAAGGGAUAACAGCGUAAUCUGUUAUUUGGUUUGCGACCUCGAUGUUGGAUUAGGGAGUGCUAUAGUUAGUAACUAUGGUUAUUUGUUCUGUUCGAACUUUAAGACCUACAUGAUCUGAGU